GACGAACGCUGGCGGCGUGCCUAAUACAUGCAAGUUGAGCGCUGAAGGUUGGUACUUGUACCAACUGGAUGAGCAGCGGACGGGUGAGUAAAGCGUGGGGAAUCUGCCUUUGAGCGGGGGACAACAUUUGGAAACGAAUGCUAAUACCGCAUAAAAACUUUAAACACAAGUUUUAAGUUUGAAAGAUGCAAUUGCAUCACUCAAAGAUGAUCCCGCGUUGUAUUAGCUAGUUGGUGAGGUAAAGGCUCACCAAGGCGAUGAUACAUAGCCGACCUGAGAGGGUGAUCGGCCACAUUGGGACUGAGACACGGCCCAAACUCCUACGGGAGGCAGCAGUAGGGAAUCUUCGGCAAUGGACGAAAGUCUGACCGAGCAACGCCGCGUGAGUGAAGAAGGUUUUCGGAUCGUAAAACUCUGUUGGUAGAGAAGAACGUUGGUGAGGGUGGAAAGCUCAUCAAGUGACGGUAACUACCCAGAAAGGGACGGCUAACUACGUG
Molecule: ribosomal RNA, 497 nt
Filed under: uncultured bacterium
Lineage: Bacteria
Description: partial 16S ribosomal RNA
Rfam family: Bacterial small subunit ribosomal RNA
Source: RNAcentral